AGGGGAUAGCCCGAGGAAACUCGGAUUAAUACCGUAUACCUCCUUCGGGAGAAAGAAGGCCUCUCUUUGAAGCUUUCGCUACUAGAUCAGCCUGCGUAAGAUUAGCUUGUUGGUGAGGUAAUGGCUCACCAAGGCUACGAUCUUUAGCUGGUCUGAGAGGACGAUCAGCCACAUUGGGACUGAGACACGGCCCAGACUCCUACGGGAGGCAGCAGUGGGGAAUAUUGGACAAUGGGCGCAAGCCUGAUCCAGCCAUACCGCGUGUGUGAAGAAGGCCUUCGGGUUGUAAAGCACUUUAAGCAGGGAGAAAAAAAUAUAGGUUAAUACCCUAUGUUCUUGAUGUUACCUGCAGAAUAAGCACCGGCU
This 366-nucleotide ribosomal RNA is filed under the name uncultured Pseudomonadota bacterium. RNAcentral's name for it is "bacterial SSU rRNA". It matches the Rfam family "Bacterial small subunit ribosomal RNA", at positions 138 to 498 of the family's 1533-position model. The record is from RNAcentral. Lineage: Bacteria; Pseudomonadati; Pseudomonadota.